CGUGUAGGCGGCGGAAUAAGUCAGAUGUGAAAUCCCCCGGCUUAACCGGGGAACGGCAUUUGAAACUGUUUUGCUUGAGUGCGAGAGGGGGUAGUGGAAUUCCCAGUGUAGCGGUGAAAUGCGUAGAUAUUGGGAAGAACACCAGUAGCGAAGGCGGCUACCUGGCUCGCAACUGACGCUAAGGCGCGAAAGCGUGGGGAGCAAACA
This 207-nucleotide ribosomal RNA is filed under the name uncultured bacterium. Its description in RNAcentral is "partial 16S ribosomal RNA". It matches the Rfam family "Bacterial small subunit ribosomal RNA", at positions 568 to 774 of the family's 1533-position model. The record is from RNAcentral.